RNAcentral lists this unclassified non-coding RNA (258 nucleotides) under Ascomycota sp. RNAcentral describes it as "partial contains small subunit ribosomal RNA, internal transcribed spacer 1, and 5.8S ribosomal RNA". The stretch from base 1 to 47 matches the Rfam family "Eukaryotic small subunit ribosomal RNA", at positions 1785 to 1831 of the family's 1831-position model. The record is from RNAcentral. Lineage: Eukaryota; Fungi; Ascomycota.
AAAGUCGUAACAAGGUUUCCGUAGGUGAACCUGCGGAAGGAUCAUUAUCGAGUUAGGGUCGUUCUGGCCCGAACUUCCAACCCCUUGUUUAUCACACCAUGUUGCUUUGGUGGGCCCGCUCGCUUUUGUGGGCCGCUGGAGGUUAUUGCCUCUGGUCCGUGCCUGCCAGCAGCCUUAUUAAAAUUCUUUUUUAACUGUGUCGUCUGAGUAAACUUUUUAAAUUAUUAAAAACUUUCAACAACGGAUCUCUUGGUUCUG